This 272-nucleotide ribosomal RNA is filed under the name uncultured Solobacterium sp. Its description in RNAcentral is "partial 16S ribosomal RNA". It matches the Rfam family "Bacterial small subunit ribosomal RNA", at positions 87 to 354 of the family's 1533-position model. Lineage: Bacteria; Bacillati; Bacillota; Erysipelotrichia; Erysipelotrichales; Erysipelotrichaceae. The record is from RNAcentral.
UCGAAGGAGUGGCGAACGGGUGAGUAAUACAUAAGCAACCUACCCACGAAGACUGGGAUAAUCUCUGGAAACGGGGACUAAUACCGGAUAGGUAAUCGGAAAGGCAUCUUCUGGUUAUUAAAGGUUAAAAACACUGGUGGAUGGGCUUAUGGCGCAUUAGUUAGUUGGUGAGGUAACGGCCCACCAAGACGAUGAUGCGUAGCCGGCCUGAGAGGGUGAACGGCCACAUUGGGACUGAGACACGGCCCAGACUCCUACGGGAGGCAGCAGGU